This 1024-nucleotide long non-coding RNA is filed under the name Salmo salar (Atlantic salmon). RNAcentral's name for it is "lncRNA (ENSSSAG00000094383.1)". Lineage: Eukaryota; Metazoa; Chordata; Actinopteri; Salmoniformes; Salmonidae. The record is from RNAcentral.
UUCAUGAGGUAUUUGUAUUUCGCGCCACGCGAUUCCACGCAAGCGUCCCACCUUGCCCAGGGAGGUUAAAGUGUGUGAUGAGAGCCAUGAGAGUUUAAAAGAUUAAGGUCAAGAUGUUGGGGGGUUCGUAUUACUCGCAGUCGACAUUCCAAUUCAUCCCAAAGGUGUUCGAUGGGGUUGAGGUCAGGGCUCUGUGUAGGCCAGUCAAGUUCUUCCACACCGAUCUCGACAAACCAUUUCUGUAUGGACCUAGCUUUAUGCAAGGGAGCAUUGUCAUGCUGAAACAGGAAAGGGCCUUCCACAAACUGUUGCCACAAAGUUGGAAGAACAGAAUUGUCUAGAAUGUCAUUGUAUACUGUAGCAUUAAGAUUUCCCUUCACUGGAACUAAGGUGCCUAGCCCGAACCAUGAAAAACAGCCCCAUACCAUUAUCCCUCCUCCACCAAACUUUAUAGUUUGCACUACGCAUUGGGGCAGGUAGCGUUCUCCUGGCAUCCUCCAAACCCAGAUUUGUUUGUCGGACUGCCCGAUGGUGAAGCGUGAUUCAUCACUCCAGAGAAAGCGUUUCCACUGCUCCAGAGUCCAAUGGCAGCGAGCUUUAUACCACCCCAGCCGACGCUUGGCAUUGCACGUUGGGAUUUUAGGCUUGUGUGUGGCUACACGGCCAUGGAAACCCAUUUCAUGAAGCUCCCGAUGAACAGUUCUUGUGCUGACAUUGCUUCCAGAGGCAGUUUGGAACUUGGUAGGGAGUGUUGCAAGCGUGGACAGACGAUUUUUACGCGCUACGUGCAAUAGUCUGCUUCAGCACUCAGCGGUCCUGUUCUGUGAACUUGUGUGGCCUACCACCUUGCGGCUGAGCCGUUGUUGGUCCUAGAUGUUUCCACUUCACAAUAACAGCACUACAGUUGAUCAGGGCAGACCUCGCAGGGCAGAAAUUUGACGAACUGACUAUGCUACGUUGAAAGUGACUGAGCUCUUCAUUAAGGCCAUUCUACUGUCAAUGUUUGUAUAUGGAGAUUGCAUGG